Molecule: small RNA, 757 nt
Filed under: Histoplasma capsulatum
Lineage: Eukaryota; Fungi; Ascomycota; Eurotiomycetes; Onygenales; Ajellomycetaceae
Also listed under: 1 other name
Description: hypothetical RNA
Source: RNAcentral
ACAAGCCUACUUCUCUCUUUCUAUUCUUCCUUUCUUCCUUACUUUGCUUCUUUUUGCUUCUGCUUUUUAAAAAUAACACACAUACAUUUGCGGACCAGGCUCCCGCUGCGCAUAGCCAACCAUGUUUACAUUUGGCAUUUGGUCAGAAAGACCAUCAUGGUUAACUACGCUGUCCAACCCCGUUGUCCCCAGGGACCAGCCAAUCCGCUGGCGAACCCCUAUUAUCUGCUACUCUGUGUGGAUGAAUACACGUACGUGGUCGAUGAAGGCUGAUACAUGAUGCUGAUGAUGAUAAUAUAUUUAUUUUACUUUGAGGGAUCCAGCGUUUCAAAAAGCAUUUCUGGUAAGCAAAUCUCCCCGGGUUGGUAGAUAAGUCAUAAGAUAAGAGCUCUCUGGAUUUAUUAUUUUUUUUUUAUUGUCAAUCAACCCAGCCGAGAAAGGCGGUGUAAAUAAAAAACACACAAUAAAUUGAUAAAAUUCGGCCGGCAUCCUCCGUCUGGCUGGAACUGGCUGGAACCCGUAGCUGGUGAGAGAGUUGGCUGGCGUUUGGCAUUUGAUUAGGGUUGCAGACACACACCGCCACGAUCCAGAGAUUGGUUGAUGCCCGUUAUCUGCUUGGGUCCUGACAGCGGGUGAUGAUGAUGAUGAUGAUGAUACUUAGUUACAACUUACCCUGAAGCCGCUCAACAACAGGCAGAAAAAGCCAAUCCAAGAGUUAAUAGGACAUAGCAGUUAAAUAGUAAAUAUAUAGUGGCAU